UUUAUCACAGGGCAUACGGCCUGAUCUGGGCAGUCAACAACUUGAUUUUUCUCUGUGUGAUUUGGAGGUAGUUAGUAAAGUGACAUAUUAUCCUCACCACUAAAAUUCCUACCUUCUCCUGUAAGCUGUUCCCCAAAGAUGUUAUCCCAUGAACACCAUUCCAUGAACUGCUGAUUCUGACCACCAAGUCUUGAAGUGAAUUUCCCUUUAUCCACCUCCCAGAUACACCGGAGGCAGGAGGGAGGGACAUACCAUGAGCAGCUAACCCUCUCUCCUCAUCUAAUUCACUUUCUAAAAACACUCCUUUCCAAAUUAGGGAAGUCACUUCCUACAUCCAUCUCAGUCACUCUCAAAACCACUCAGUUGCUCCUUUGCCCUUUCACCAAAGCCAGGUUUAGAAGAAGUGGAAUUUCAGGAAGAAAUAUUCCUUGGGCUUUGAAGAAGUCUCAGUACAGAUCCUUAAAUCGGCCCCAGCGCUUUGCCGGGAGCUGCCCACCAGUCAGCUAAACCUCUACCCAAGGACAAGGUCCAGGAGAGAGAUGAGGGAACGCGCAGUGGACCCUCAGAAGACGGCGGUCGGCCGCUCCUGAUCCUACUCAUGCUACUAAUCUUACCAAUAUUGCUCUUGCUGUUCCUUUUCUGUACGUGGGGAUAUCUUGGGGAAAAUCUCUCCAAGCAGGGGGAAAAGGUUGAUGUAACUUGGCCUUCUAGGGAAGGUUCAAGGGAGCAACAGCCUGAAGGGAAAAAACGUUCUGACCCCUCCUGGAAAGGCGGAAAAGGGAGCUUGGACAGCCCUCCAGGAGGAAGCCUUCCAAUAAUCAGCCUCAAAAGAGAACAUUCCCUCCUCAAGUAUUAUUAUCCUAGGCCUGUUAGGACAGGAGGUAAAUGGUGGCACCCACCCAGGAGCAAAGGUAUGCAAAAGGUGCACUCUCCUAAAACAACCCAUAACCCUGAUGAGGUUGCAAAGAAAUAUCAUAAUAUAUUGAUACAGAGGAACUGGGAUUAUGAUGAGGAUUGGAAACCCUAUAAAAUAGUUAAUGGUAAAAGAGAAACCCCAGGCACUGUGCCUGUAUGGCUUUCGCUCAGACGGAGAUGAGGGCCUCCGUGUACUUGGUCCCCUUAUACUUUGCAAUACUCCUGCUUUCGUUAUUACAGGAAUAAAGAUAGAGGCUUAGGGUCAUUCGACCCACGGGGAACUGAGUCUAGAUGUGGCACCCCGUUUUGCAAUCAGUCUUAGGCAUCAAGACGCCUAGUAGACAUAUAGAAAAGGUCAAUAUCUAUAUUUAAUAAAGGUUGCUUGCUUCUCAUAGACAUACUGUGCUAAUAUUAUAACAAGAUAUGCUUGUGUACCCAUUUUGUCUGCCAAAAUUAUGUACUGAGACAAUUCCAUGAGAUCAUAAACACGUGACCUGGACCCUAUAUAAGUGCUUGAAUGCUCCGAAUAAAUCAGACUUGGAAACCUCA
This is a non-coding RNA of Equus caballus (horse), 1464 nucleotides long. NCBI's taxonomy places the organism in Eukaryota, Metazoa, Chordata, Mammalia, Perissodactyla, Equidae. The record is from RefSeq and is a predicted model, not a curated record.